GGGGAUGUGGCUUAAGCGGUAAUGCGCUCGCCUAGCAUGCGCGGGGCGCUGCGUUCGAUCCUCAGCACUCCA
This 72-nucleotide transfer RNA is filed under the name Marmota monax (woodchuck). RNAcentral describes it as "tRNA.Ala". The record is from RNAcentral. Lineage: Eukaryota; Metazoa; Chordata; Mammalia; Rodentia; Sciuridae.